Molecule: long non-coding RNA, 971 nt
Filed under: Homo sapiens (human)
Lineage: Eukaryota; Metazoa; Chordata; Mammalia; Primates; Hominidae
Description: HSALNT0119421
Source: RNAcentral
UAAUAUCUUUGUCUUUUUUUUUUUAUUUUUUUUUUGGGGAUGGAGUCUCGCUCUGUCGCCCAGGCUGGAGUGCAGUGGCACAAUCUUGGCUCACUGCAAUCUCUGCCUCCAGGGUUCACACCAUUCUCCUGCCUCAGCCUCUCAAAUAGCUGGGUCUACAGGAGCCCGCCACCAGGCCCGGCUAAUUUUCUGUAUUUUUAGUAGAGUCGGUGUUUCACCGUGUUAGCCAGGGUGGUCUCGAUCUCCUGACCUCGUGAUCCACCCACCUCGGCCUCCCAAAGUGUUAGGAUUACAGGUGUGAGCCGCUGCGCCCGGCCCUUUGUCUUUCUUUUAAUUUAUACAUAACUGUUACUUUCUUCCUGUCCAAAAUUUGGCUGUAAAGUUAAAAUUGCAUUAAGGUUGCUUAAGACCGUUAGUGGAUAUUUUUGUUUUCCCGGUCUUCAUUAUAUGCACUUCAUAUUUCCUGGAAAUAUUCCUACUCUUGAUGACAACUAUGUCUCUACAGCCCAUUACAGUUAAAACAAAGAGCCUAUGCAAUACUUUUUGUUACUAGCUCACAACUGAGAGUGAAGUAGAAGAGUAUGUCUUAUUUGAUAGACAUAAUUCUAGGUUUCAAGACCUUUCAAUUGACAGAAAUCAAGACAGUGAGACAAGACCAGGCGGGUUCUCAUUUCUUCAUUUUCUCACUAUGCUCUAUCUAUCUAGAGCUGGUCCCAAAAGACAGAACUAACAGUUUCAGCCACGCUGUUCAGUCCCAGCCAUGAACAAGAGCUUCUGCCCUGUGUCUCUCCAUUCAUCCUCCAUUCAUGCUUAUCCUUAACUUUGGACCUCUUAAGCACAGCAUCAGCAGGGAAGAUUGAUAUAGGGAAAUAGAAAAAAAACCUAGGAUAGGUUAACAUCAUAUACAACAGGAUCUGGGGAGCAUGGUCCUUCCUGCCUGUUUGCAACCUAUCCCAGUAUAUUAAACUAGG